GAUGAACGCUGGCGGCGUGCCUAAUACAUGCAAGUCGAGCGAACAGACGAGGAGCUUGCUCCUUCGACGUUAGCGGCGGACGGGUGAGUAACACGUAGGUAACCUACCUAUAAGACUGGGAUAACUUCGGGAAACCGGAGCUAAUACCGGAUAAUAUUUCGAACCGCAUGGUUCGAUAGUGAAAGAUGGCUUUGCUAUCACUUAUAGAUGGACCUGCGCCGUAUUAGCUAGUUGGUAAGGUAACGGCUUACCAAGGCAACGAUACGUAGCCGACCUGAGAGGGUGGUCGGCCACACGGGAACUGGGACACGGUCCAGACUCCUACGGGAGGCAGCAGUAGGGAAUCUUCCGCAAUGGGCGAAAGCCUGACGGAGCAACGCCGCGUGAGUGAUGAAGGUCUUCGGAUCGUAAAACUCUGUUAUUAGGGAAGAACAAACGUGUAAGUAACUGUGCACGUCCUGACGGUACCUAAUCAGAAAGCCACGGCUAACUACGUG
Molecule: ribosomal RNA, 497 nt
Filed under: uncultured bacterium
Lineage: Bacteria
Description: partial 16S ribosomal RNA
Rfam family: Bacterial small subunit ribosomal RNA
Source: RNAcentral